UUUGGGGGGGGUGGAAGUAGGUGCUGGGGAGGGAGGUAAAGACUCCUCGUCUCGGAAGGGUGGGGAAAGUGGGAGAUCGGAGGCGGUCCCUGAUGAUGAGUUUGGAGACUCCUCCUUUUGGCUGUCGCUAGGCGGGGGCAUCCUUCCCGUAAGGUCUCCAUGGCGAUGCUGUGUGGUUAUCUCUUGUUUAGACGACUCUUGUCUCUUGUCUUAGGCAGUGGGAACAGACGGAUGACGCAGGCAGAAAAAUAGGUUAGAGGUAAACAGUUUUACCCCUGACUUGUUCAAGCAAACUCCAUGUGCCGUAAAAAGAUGUCUGCGCUCCCAGAAAAGGUAGGAAUUGUUGAUAAAAUGUACUGAAUGGUCAGUACAUACAGUUGACAGCCAUUUGUUCAGUGCAAACAGCCUGCUGAAUCCUUCAUCUCCUCCUCUGACUGGUGGAAGAGGGCCACUGAUAAACACCUCAGCCUUGACAGAGCUGACUGUGUUUAACAGAUCAAUAAAGUCUCACUUCAGAACUUCAGACUGUUGUUUCACAAUAUCACAGCUUCCUGUGUGCACGAUGUUUUUCACUGUGGGAUAGUCAGCCACGAUGUCCAGGAUUGUGUCUCUCAUGUUAGAGACCAUAUCUUUCGGAAAGCAGAGUAUUUUGGUAUUCUUGCUGCACAGUGUUCUGACAUCUUUUACAGCAUAGUCACCAACAAUCAGAGUCUCAGGCCCAGUCAUUAGCUUUGCCUGCGGCCUUUUACUCUCACAUUUACUCUCAGUUCUUACCCUGCUUUGAGGAGAUAGCUGCUUAUCCAGGUCAUCAGAUGGAGAUUUAGGAUCCUGCGACAAUGGAGCAAAUCUGUUUUGAAGUUGUAGGCUUGGUUGUUGUGGAGGUUUUUUGCAGGUUUUACUUUUCUCAGCUGUCCUUGUCCGUCUGAGUGCAGGGGUUGAGGAGUUCUGCCUGUGUGCUAGUGCAGGCCAGCCAGUCGCAUCAUAAAUCUCAGGGCGCUGGGCUCUGCCUGUUAGUCGUCCUCCCACAUCCUGAGGGUAUGAUUUUCUCUUCGGCUUUGUACCGAGAGAGUUCCAGGGAGGACUACCAUUUGAAGAUUCAUUAUCUGCUCUCGCCUCGUUUCUUGGUAGGCCUGGUUGUGCUAGUUAGCUGUGUCUUAGCUUGCGUUUGUCCAGUGUUUUGAGUCCAUGGUAAAGUGGUAUCAUUCCCACACAGUCCAUUUACCUCCACGUUUAUUUCUAGUCGGUGGAUUUUUGUUUCCAAGACUGCAAUCUUCUGUAGGAGUUUGUAGUAGUCGUCCGUGGAGAAGGGAGGCAUCUUGCUGCUACUUAGCUUUAGCUUAGCUGCUAGUUAGCAUUUGCUAACAACCCAAAUAGGUCGACAACUUUCUGGAUUUGUCUUCACUCAAACGUUGAAGAGUGAUAUAUGUGAUAUAUCUGGCAAAUUGAAGCAAGAAAAUGCAAGCAGAGGCAAGAGCAAGCAGCAAGUGCAGUUAGUUUCUGUAUCACUACUUCUUAAUUCAUUGACAGCCAGCCGUCUCUGCUCCAUAGACUCUUCAGUGGUUUCAGAUUGUCUUCGUUUUCAGGCUGGUUCAGUGAAUUUGGAGCAAAUCAUAGUGAAACUUGUAAUAGUGAUACUCGAUAUCAGGAGAGGUAGAAGAUGAUAUUAGCUAACAUUAGCAGAGUACGUUAGCACAUUACUAACUAAUGUUAGCAUGUCUAUGCUAUGCUAGCUACUGAAAGUAUAUUGAAUGUCUACACAUGCUUCUUUUGCUUUUUGAUGAUUGUAAAUGUGAAUAAAGAGCUAGCAGCUCUACAGGAACAGUGUUCCUUCUUUCAUUGUCUCAAUCUCCAGGUGAUGUGGUGGUUCACUUCUACUCUGUGAUCUGUAGCUUUAGCAUCUAACCUUUUCUUUUCAUUCCAAUCCAAGUCAAGAGUGUUUGUUUUAGCACUCAGCCUUAACACAACAUAGUAUAACUCUGCUUUGAAACCUACAGGAGGUUUCUAAAGAAAAAUAUACCUUUUUAUGAAUUCAAAUAUUUUAAUAAGAUUUUAAAAACAAACAAUGAAAUCCUUUUUUAAAAGAUGUACAAAACUUUGACAUGUAUUCUGCUCUGUUGAUCAGACACCUUCAGCUAAUGACUAAACAAACUUUAGAAGACAUCAGAAGAAACACACAAUCAUCACACAAACAAAAAUAUAUCAAUGUUUUUUCUUUUUGUUUUGUUUUAUAUUUCAUUCUGGGACAGAUGACAUCACAAUGCAGGUUUCCCUUUCAACAUCCAGUGCAGGCAACAGAUCUCACAGGCGUCGGAGUGGGAAGCCACAAGUGCUGAAAAAGGAAAAUAAAACGUCACCAAAAAUAUUCCAAGUCAUUUGCUGGAGACCAUAAAUGUCCACGGAAAUAUCAUGGAAAUCUGGCCAGUAGAGAUACUUCACUGUGGACCAAAGUGUUGCAUAGACUGAACGAGGAACAUCACCAUCCCUAAGACCUCAGCAUCAAACAACAUGGGGCCAUUUAGAACCGCUAUGAACACAUGAGAUGUGGUCCGAGAACACGUCAUACAAACUAGUUUGUUUGAAGCUUUCUGAAGCCUUUGGGCCUCUGCUGUAGGACAACAACACCUCAACCUGAAUCCUCAGCAGAUAAAGUCAGAACAUUGUUUAAAUCUGGGAACACAGUGACAUUACUGACAAUGAUACUGAUGACCAGACAGGUUGGAAACAAAGUUAGUCAAGAUUAGUGAAGGAUUAUUAUCAGCUCUCAGGUGUGCUCACUUUCAGUUUGCCCUCCAAAUCAAGUGGUUAUAGUCAGUAGUUUCCAAUCCGUUUCAUUGUGACCCUGUAGAAUACAAGUGUUUACUUAUGACCCAGUGUGGAUGUGAGUUGCGAUGAAUUAACCAAACAGUGAUCUUCUCAGAUUGUUUCAUUUUGAAGGAUAUAUAUUGUUUGAAGAGUUAAAAGUGUUCAGUAUUUUACAAGAAAAUGCCAAACAUUUAUGAAAUGUCAGUAGUAAACACUGUGUACUGUAGUUGCAAGUAUUAUUUUCUUUCUUAUCCCUUCAAUCAUGUUGUCUUUAUCUUAUUAACUCCUGGGGGCUCCUGACCUCCAUGUUGGGAACCAUAUGGAUAAUCUGGAUACAUCGUUGUUUCUAAAUGUCCUGUGAGAAUUAAAAAGAAAAACAGCCCUGUUUUCAGCUGUGUGACAAUGCAUGUUCCAGUUCCUUCAAGAGGCUUUUUAAAUAGUUAUUUAGCUGAAGAAGUACGAGAAUUUUCCCUUCUGUAGAUUCGUGGGUUUCACUGGAAAGGAAUGUACAUGGAUUUGUACUUGUAUAGAGCCUUUCAGUCUUCUGACCACUCAAAGCUGUUUAACACUACAUGUGUCAAGUUAUCCGGUUUUUACUGUUAAGUUAAGUUCUUAACGUCUGCAUUUUCCCCACUUGAAAAGGAUCGAGUCCACCUGAAGGGUCCCAACUGGAUUCCACUCAGAAACCAAACAACUUUUCCUUUUUCCUCCUUUUAUUUUUGGUCACACUGUAGGCACUUAAAGGUUGAAGAGGAAUACUGCCACAUCGUCCAUUAACCAAACACGUCUAAGGAAACAUUGAAACAGUACUGUCAUCAGUGUUGCUUUGCUUGUAGCUAGUUCAAAGAUUCCUUUGGACAUUUGGAUAUGACUAAAUUAUUUAAUUGGUAGAGUAUUAUAAGCAGAGGUGUAUUAAUAAAUAAUAUUAAAAUACAAGUUUUGAUUAACCAUAGCAUCACAUGACCAGUGGCACAACAGUUGAAAACUGCCAUGUGUUUGCCAUAUCAAUUUUCCUACUGCAUUUGUCCUUCACAGUGUGAAACUGGUUGAGUUCCUUUAUUUAUGAAGUAAAGUAUGGUCUGCCAGCUAUCCUUGUCACCUUGUAAGUGUUGAGUCCUGGGGAAUCAAACCCUGGCGACACGCCUUUCUUGUUAAAGAGGUAAAAGUUGAAGAGCUGUCUGUCCUGUGCCUCCAGGGAGACAGAGGCGCUGUUAACCUUCAGCUUGCAGGGGUAUGGGCUCUCAAACACCACCCUGAACACCCUGUCCUGCAGGUAAUCCAGCCGGAUAGUUCGGUACUUGGAAGGGACAGUUGAGUCCACCUGUGGUCCAAACUGCUGCAUCACCAGCACCCCGUCUGACUCCACCUUAAUCUCAUAGAAGGUCAUAUUCCUGGAUGAGAUAGCUGUAGGCCUGGCUCACAAGGUCCUGGUCUGCAGGCCGAACACCAGCCAUUAGGAUCACCAGUCCCAGUUUGAGCCGUGGCACCAGGGAGAGGCUGGCCGCAUAACCGUCCAGGUCGCCGUCCUUCCUCACCACAUCAUAGCCAAACUGCUCGUUGAUCUCCCAAGGUGUGCCGGUGGAGUUGGCAAAGUAGCCGUGGUGGCAUCGGAAGAGCGGGGUCAGCAUCGUGUUCAGGGUGUCCUGGCGAAGCAAGGUCCCACCAUAUGCGCCCAGAAGAGCCAUCAUGAGCUUGGCCAUGUCAGCUGCUGUGGAAUACAUCUGGCCUGCAGGUCGGUACCACCUGAGGUUGUAAAGGGGAGCUGGCUGGCCAUUGCUGUACACACCCACAGCCAUCUGCCUCUGAAUGGCUGGAUUUAAGUUGAAACCCGUGUCCUCCAUGCUGAGCUGCUCCAGAACAUUGUCUGAAACCCAGCUCUCAAAGUCUGAGCCAGUCACCUUCUGGGCUAAGAUGUUGGCCAAUAAGGAAAAAGCAACAUUGCUGUAGUGGCAUCUGAGGGAAAAGAGAAAGUAAUGUCAGAAAGGUUUGCAAGCUCUUUUUGGAAGCAAAAUACCAAUAGGAUCCUUGUUCUAUGCAUAAGAAUCAACCUCCUUUUUCUUUUCAGAAUAUAGAAAUGCACGGAAAGUCUAAAGUCACUAGAGUUAAAAAUAGAGCAACACAGGAAGGAAACAGAGUCUUACCUGGUGCCUGGAUCAGCCACAAGGACAUCAUCUUGUAACAAAUGAAGGGCUGCCUGUGUGUCUCCGCUCCAAAGAAGAUUAGUUGACCUUAAUCUUCUGGGUAACCCUGUGAAAAUAUUAGAAAACACCAGUGAGCAAAACUGGUGAGUAAAUCUGUAAACUAUGUCGUCCAGGUACCCUUUUGUGAAUUUGACUUUCAUUUUGACUAUUGACUUUGUUGAUCUGACUUUUCCUCCAUAGCAUGAGGGGGACCUUUUUGAUUAGAUGGAUAACCAUGAAUUUUGGUACAUACAUUCACGUCUUUCUCAGAUGAAUUCUAAUAGCUGUACUUGAAAGACUUGUACCCUCAGCAGUGCAUCCGCCUCUGUUAAUCCCUCCUUUUCAUUCUUAGUGCACAGAGCUGAUUAGCUCUAUAUCUGGACACAGCUCAGUGUAAAUAUAGCUUCUCUCUCUCUGUUCAUGUGAGCCCAGGUUAGCUAAGGUGCUGUAGUGGGAGACUUGUCCUUAACAGAAACAACGUGGUGAGUAUGAGUGACUAGAGCUACAUUAUGACCAAUGUGCUUCCUUCACACGCUGCUGCUGAGCUAUGUGACUGUGAUGAAUGGAAUGAUAGGAUGUGGAAGCACCAGUUACACAAUGUAACAGCUUUGUUAUUACCAAGUAUUAGACAGUAUUAGACAUGGAUACACAGUGUUCAUUUCUGUAGAUGUGCACAACCAAUGCUCCACAGCCCCAAAUCUAAGGAAUUAUUCUAUUAGUCCAUUGGAUGUUUCUGCACCUCACAAUAUAUGUUCAAUGCAGGGUUUAGUGGAAAUGCAGGAUUUCUAUUUAUGUGUCUUUUAAUAAUAAUACUACUAAUAAUAGUACAUUUUAUUUGUAUAGCACUUUAAAAGG
Long non-coding RNA from Anarrhichthys ocellatus (wolf-eel), 5837 nucleotides. RefSeq lists it as uncharacterized. The transcript has 3 exons. Lineage: Eukaryota; Metazoa; Chordata; Actinopteri; Perciformes; Anarhichadidae. The record is from RefSeq and is a predicted model, not a curated record.